RNAcentral lists this ribosomal RNA (450 nucleotides) under uncultured bacterium. RNAcentral describes it as "bacterial SSU rRNA". It matches the Rfam family "Bacterial small subunit ribosomal RNA", at positions 354 to 796 of the family's 1533-position model. The record is from RNAcentral.
GUGGGGAAUAUUGGACAAUGGGCGAAAGCCUGAUCCAGCCAUGCCGCGUGUGUGAAGAAGGUCUUCGGAUUGUAAAGCACUUUAAGUUGGGAGGAAGGGCAGUAAGUUAAUACCUUGCUGUUUUGACGUUACCGACAGAAUAAGCACCGGCUAACUUCGUGCCAGCAGCCGCGGUAAUACGAAGGGUGCAAGCGUUAAUCGGAAUUACUGGGCGUAACGCGCGCGUAGGUGGUUUUGUAAGUUGGAGGUGAAAUCCCCGGGCUCAACCUGGGAACUGCCUCCAAAACUGCAUGACUAGAGUACGGUAGAGGGUAGUGGAAUUUCCUGUGUAGCGGUGAAAUGCGUAGAUAUAGGAAGGAACACCAGUGGCGAAGGCGACUACCUGGACUGAUACUGACACUGAGGUGCGAAAGCGUGGGGAGCAAACAGGAUUAGAUACCCCAGUAGUCC